GUUUAAGAGACAGCAGUAGCCGCGGGAAUACGAAGGGUGCAAGCGUUACUCGGAAUUACUGGGCGUAAAGCGUGCGUAGGUGGUGGUUUAAGUCCGUUGUGAAAGCCCUGGGCUCAACCUGGGAAUUGCAGUGGAUACUGGGUCACUAGAGUGUGGUAGAGGAUAGUGGAAUUUCCGGUGUAGCAGUGAAAUGCGUAGAGAUCGGAAGGAACAUCUGUGGCGAAGGCGACUAUCUGGGCCAACACUGACACUGAGGCACGAAAGCGUGGGGAGCAAACAGGAUUAGAUACCCGGGUAGUCCCUGUCUCUUAUAC
This 314-nucleotide ribosomal RNA is filed under the name uncultured bacterium. RNAcentral describes it as "partial 16S ribosomal RNA". It matches the Rfam family "Bacterial small subunit ribosomal RNA", at positions 499 to 807 of the family's 1533-position model. The record is from RNAcentral.